AGUGAACGCUAGCGGUGCGCCUAACACAUGCAAGUCGAGCGAACCUUCGGGUAAGCGGCGAACGGCUGAGUAACACGUUGGAAUCUACCCCAGACUCAGGGAUAAGCCCGCGAAAGCGGGUCUAAUACCGGAUAGUCUCGUAAGAGUAAAGCUUUUGCGGUCUGGGAGGAUCCUGCGACAUAUCAGGUAGUAGGUAGGGUAAAGGCCUACCUAGCCUAUGACGUGUAGUUGAUCUGAGAGGAUGAUCAGCCAGAAUGGAACUGAGACACGGUCCAUACUCCUACGGGAGGCAGCAGUGAGGAAUCUUCCGCAAUGGGCGAAAGCCUGACGGAGCGACACCGCGUGGUGGAUGACACCCUUUUCGGGCGUAAACACCUGUCCUGAGGGACGAAACUUUUGACGGUACCUCAGAAGAAAGCACCGGCUAAUUCCG
Molecule: ribosomal RNA, 433 nt
Filed under: uncultured bacterium
Lineage: Bacteria
Description: bacterial SSU rRNA
Rfam family: Bacterial small subunit ribosomal RNA
Source: RNAcentral